GAGUUUGAUCGUGGCUCAGACUGAACGCUGGCGGCAUGCCUUACACAUGCAAGUCGAACGGCAGCAUGAUCUAGCUUGCUAGAUUGAUGGCGAGUGGCGAACGGGUGAGUAAUACAUCGGAACGUGCCCUGUAGUGGGGGAUAACUAGUCGAAAGAUUAGCUAAUACCGCAUACGACCUGAGGGUGAAAGUGGGGGACCGCAAGGCCUCAUGCUAUAGGAGCGGCCGAUGUCUGAUUAGCUAGUUGGUGGGGUAAAGGCCCACCAAGGCGACGAUCAGUAGCUGGUCUGAGAGGACGAUCAGCCACACUGGGACUGAGACACGGCCCAGACUCCUACGGGAGGCAGCAGUGGGGAAUUUUGGACAAUGGGGGCAACCCUGAUCCAGCAAUGCCGCGUGUGUGAAGAAGGCCUUCGGUUGUAAG
Molecule: ribosomal RNA, 423 nt
Filed under: uncultured microorganism
Description: bacterial SSU rRNA
Rfam family: Bacterial small subunit ribosomal RNA
Source: RNAcentral